This 604-nucleotide ribosomal RNA is filed under the name Candida tropicalis. RNAcentral's name for it is "LSU rRNA". It matches the Rfam family "Eukaryotic large subunit ribosomal RNA", at positions 35 to 655 of the family's 3401-position model. Lineage: Eukaryota; Fungi; Ascomycota; Pichiomycetes; Serinales; Debaryomycetaceae. The record is from RNAcentral.
UAAGCAUAUCAAUAAGCGGAGGAAAAGAAACCAACAGGGAUUGCCUUAGUAGCGGCGAGUGAAGCGGCAAAAGCUCAAAUUUGAAAUCUGGCUCUUUCAGAGUCCGAGUUGUAAUUUGAAGAAGGUAUCUUUGGGUCUGGCUCUUGUCUAUGUUUCUUGGAACAGAACGUCACAGAGGGUGAGAAUCCCGUGCGAUGAGAUGAUCCAGGCCUAUGUAAAGUUCCUUCGAAGAGUCGAGUUGUUUGGGAAUGCAGCUCUAAGUGGGUGGUAAAUUCCAUCUAAAGCUAAAUAUUGGCGAGAGACCGAUAGCGAACAAGUACAGUGAUGGAAAGAUGAAAAGAACUUUGAAAAGAGAGUGAAAAAGUACGUGAAAUUGUUGAAAGGGAAGGGCUUGAGAUCAGACUUGGUAUUUUGUAUGUUACUUCUUCGGGGGUGGCCUCUACAGUUUAUCGGGCCAGCAUCAGUUUGGGCGGUAGGAGAAUUGCGUUGGAAUGUGGCACGGCUUCGGUUGUGUGUUAUAGCCUUCGUCGAUACUGCCAGCCUAGACUGAGGACUGCGGUUUAUACCUAGGAUGUUGGCAUAAUGAUCUUAAGUCGCCCGUCUU